GCGAAGUCUGGGACAGACGUAUGGGUAAGUCGGUGUGUGCAGGUGUUGGCAGGAAGGACUGGUCGGAAAGUGUGCGUAGGCGGCUGGAUAAGGGAGUUGUGAAUGCCCGUUGGUAGACGACGGGGGCGCAGGUGGGACUGUCUGGCUUGUGGUUGGUAGGGGCGAGUGGAAGUCCCGUUGUGGCGGUGGAAGGCGUAGAGAUCGGGAAGAACACCGGUGGCGAAGGCGGCUCGCUGGGCCAAUGCUGACGCUGAUGCGCGAAAGCGUGGGGAGCAAACAGGAUUAGAUACCCGAGUAGUC
This 300-nucleotide ribosomal RNA is filed under the name uncultured Halorussus sp. RNAcentral describes it as "bacterial SSU rRNA". It matches the Rfam family "Bacterial small subunit ribosomal RNA", at positions 496 to 795 of the family's 1533-position model. The record is from RNAcentral. Lineage: Archaea; Methanobacteriati; Methanobacteriota; Halobacteria; Halobacteriales; Haladaptataceae.